Verticillium longisporum is the source of this 71-nucleotide transfer RNA. It matches the Rfam family "tRNA". Rfam says of the family: Transfer RNA (tRNA) molecules are approximately 80 nucleotides in length. Their secondary structure includes four short double-helical elements and three loops (D, anti-codon, and T loops). Lineage: Eukaryota; Fungi; Ascomycota; Sordariomycetes; Glomerellales; Plectosphaerellaceae. The record is from Rfam.
GCUGGUAGCCUAGUUGGUCAGGACCUCUAGUGCCCUACUAGAAGUUAUGGGUUCGAAUCCCAUUAUUAGCG